Molecule: ribosomal RNA, 176 nt
Filed under: uncultured bacterium
Lineage: Bacteria
Description: partial 16S ribosomal RNA
Rfam family: Bacterial small subunit ribosomal RNA
Source: RNAcentral
GCUGGAAUCGCUAGUAAUCGCGAAUCAGCAUGUCGCGGUGAAUACGUCCCCGGGUCUUGUACACACCGCCCGUCACACCAUGGGAGUCGGAAAUGCCCGAAGCCAGUGACCCAACCAUAAGGAGGGAGCUGUCGAAGGUGGAGCCGGUGACUGGGGUGAAGUCGUAACAAGGUAUC